This 1292-nucleotide long non-coding RNA is filed under the name Manacus vitellinus (golden-collared manakin). RNAcentral describes it as "lncRNA (ENSMVIG00005000296.1)". The record is from RNAcentral. Lineage: Eukaryota; Metazoa; Chordata; Aves; Passeriformes; Pipridae.
GUGGGAACAACUGCUACACACACAGAGCACAGACCUCUGUCUCACUCUACUGCUGUCUGUCUUGCUGCAGAAUGCAGGUCUGUACACGGUGACCUCCACACCCCUCAACUGUGGCCCCCAGCUCCGGGUGCUGCUCCGGCGCCCAGCAAAUGAGAAGCUACUCUUGUUGCUCCCCGUUGGCUAUCCCAAGAAAGAUGCUACUGUGCCUGCACUGACCAGAAAGCCGCUGGAAGACAUCAUGGUGGUCAUGUGAGCCCAGUGCCAGGAGGAAGGAGUGCAUCCCUGCUGACAGCUAGGAAGCAGCAGCCUGAUGAAGUUGUCAUUGCUGUUUCUUUGCAUCAUCCCCCUAUGUCACUGUUGCUCUCUUGCAGUUUGCAUCUGUAUUUCUUUUAGUGCUACUAACAGCAGUGAGCAAUCAAGCGCUGUGCAUUUGACAGGUGCUGUUACUUAUGAAACCAGGCAGUUGUUCCAGGGAACAAUGGCAUUUAAAUGACCUUCAUCACUUGAUUUUUCUCAUGCAUUGGGGGGACAAAUCUUUCCUUGAACUGGAAUAUAUAUUCUUCUUAUACUUUUCUGAUUGCCAUUACACAGUUAUUUUAAGAAUUUUAAUGAAGGUUGUAUUAAAAGAUAUAAAAAGGUCAGGCUCAGCUGGUGCUGCCGAUCCCUGUGCGGGCAGAGCCCCCUCGUGGGGCCGCAGGUACCGCCGGCGCUGGGAACAGCGCAACGUGAAAACGCUGGGAGAGAGCCAUCCUUCCUGCAGGUCUCUGUUCUGUGAAACACUUUCCCACCCUGAUCUCUGCUGCAGGCAAAUUCAGCCAAACUGGCUUCAGCCCUCCUUGGGCGUUGGUCGAGAUGACCCGCUGCUCCUUGUCUGAAGUCUAACCUGUGCUAGAGGAAGGUGUCCCUGCCCACAGCAGGUGGAUUUGAGCUAGAUGAUCUUUCAGGUUCCUUCCAACCCAAACCAUUCUAUGAUUCUGUAAUUCCAUAAGUCAAUCCCAUUUAUUAUCACCCGUUGUCAGCCUAGCAAGUGGAUAAUGUGGAUAAUGUUUUACAGAGGUACAGAUUUUAGCCAUACCAAUGCCUCAGUCACCCAGUGGGAAAAAUUAUUUUUCUCUUAAGUAGACCAUUUUGCUGGUAUUUAGCAGGCAUGCCUAAAUGUGUUCACCUAUUGCACUAAUCUUGUUUCACAUCCUCAGUGAUAAAGCUAUGGCAGGAAGCUCUUAAUGCAAGCCUAAUCUAAAAUGAGCUCUUAUAACUAAUAUAAAAUAAAAUAAGGAAGUCCUGUGUCUACA